RNAcentral lists this non-coding RNA (109 nucleotides) under Bacillus sp. CECT 9360. RNAcentral describes it as "TPP". It matches the Rfam family "TPP riboswitch aptamer (THI element)". Rfam says of the family: Vitamin B(1) in its active form thiamin pyrophosphate (TPP) is an essential coenzyme that is synthesised by coupling of pyrimidine and thiazole moieties in bacteria. The previously detected thiamin-regulatory element, thi box was extended, resulting in a new, highly conserved RNA secondary structure, the THI element, which is widely distributed in eubacteria and also occurs in some archaea. Lineage: Bacteria; Bacillati; Bacillota; Bacilli; Caryophanales; Bacillaceae. The record is from RNAcentral.
UUUAACUACUAGGGGUGCCUUAUUCGUGAGGCUGAGAGAAAAAGUAAUUUUUUAACCCUUUGGACCUGAUCUGGAUUAUGCCAGCGUAGGAAAGUAGUCGGCGCGAAAC